This 783-nucleotide unclassified non-coding RNA is filed under the name Hevea brasiliensis (rubber tree). The record is from RNAcentral. Lineage: Eukaryota; Viridiplantae; Streptophyta; Magnoliopsida; Malpighiales; Euphorbiaceae.
AAUAAAAUAAAAUAAAGUAAAAUUUUUUGAAAAUUAAUCAUGUCUUGGCGCAAUGAAGCAUCCACAUUAGUAGCUCAUAAAACUACCAUAUAUUGUUGUUUACAAUAAAUGCAAAAUCCAUGCAAAUUAAUAGGAACUUCUGAACUUCUGGGCCUCUAGCCUUGAUAAAAAGAUAAUAUCAAACCACCAACCAAGACUAGGAAACAUAACACAUGAUUACGAUGUAACAUGAGAUUCAUAGAACUUUAACCAUUGAUGUGUUUUGAGUCAGCAUUAAUCCUUAUAAGGAAACACCACAGCUGAGUUGACAAAUGCUACAUCGCAACCAGGCAGUGGUGCAUACAACAAGACCCUAACAUUGCUCUAAUUGCUAUGGGCAUGCCCUGUCAUUUUGGUUAUAAAUAUCAAAUUAAAAAAUUUUAACACGUGUCUACUGUGUGGUGCCUACAAAUGCUCCCUAUUGUUCAUGGACAUUCUCAAAUAAAUUUUGCAGUAAUUUUUUUGAUAAUUCAUUCAUAGGACAACUUUUGACGGAAAAGAAAAAGCUGAGUUCAGGCAAUAUUGACACUUGGGUCGUUGCUUUUUCUCAAAUUAAAUUAUAUAGUCCUUAACUUUUUAAAUUUCUUACACUUUAUUCCUAUGAAACAUCACACACUUUAGUCCCUUAUUUUUUUAAAAUGAAACGAGAAUUUACUGUAGAAGACAAAGAAUUUAGAUAAUUUCUUUUAUAUUUCUUCAUACAAAAAUGAUUUACAAGAAUUCUAAUUUAUAUACAAAGGCUAU